Molecule: long non-coding RNA, 1720 nt
Organism: Homo sapiens (human)
Lineage: Eukaryota; Metazoa; Chordata; Mammalia; Primates; Hominidae
Exons: 2
Source: RefSeq, a predicted model, not a curated record
UGCCUUGGCGACCGCGUCGCGCUCGAAGCCGCAGCCUCCGCCCCCGCCGCCGCCGCCAGAGCCCACCCGGCGGGUGCAGAUUCCCUUUGUCUCCUCCGCCUCCCCUCCUCCCUGCUUCCCUGCGUCCUCCCCCUCCCGCCUUUCCUUUGUCGCCCCGGAUUCCCCGGCAGCCGCCCUUCCUGCGCUCCGCUCCCGCUGCAGGUGCCCGGGGCCGCGAGGACAGGCCUCGCCGCCACCCCCACCCGGCCUGCCCAGUGCCUGGCAUGAAACCAGUGUUUCCAAAAGCGGUGCCGGGCUGAAGCGCCGCACAGGAACUUGCUUCCCUCACCUGGGCGGCCUCGCUGGCCUCUAGCCGGCCUGUACCGCGCAUAGCAGAGCUAGGAGACAUGACAGCCGCCCCCUUUAAGGACCCAAGAGAUUCCCCACGGACCUCUUCCCCUUCCUUCCGUUUGAGAGGGAGCGGUGUCACUUGGUGAGAGGGAGGAGACGGGAGGAAAAGGAGGUGAGACUCGACGUCCAGUGCCCUCUUGGCCUGGCUUGCUCGGCCUUCCCUGCAGCGAGGCGGGGCGCACAUCCCCUACCCGGGCCGCAGAGAACCUGUCGGCCGCCGAGUUCUGCAGCUCGAUGGCAUUGCGAGGCCGAAAGCAGAAUUUCCAGGACCUCUGAGAGUUGAAGUCGUUAUUCGGGGGGAGGGGAUUCUGUGAGCAAAAUGUGCUGCUGUUAGCAUUCACGGUCACCUGGUGAUGAAGAGUGCUGGGGAUUUGGCCACAGUAAUGGCCCUAACCCAGAACCCUCUUUGUCCUGGAGCAACAUAGCAGCUCUAGUGGCAGUGGCGUCAAACAUCAGAUUGGCUCAUAUUCUAGCCGAUACCCUCUUAGUGUGUGCCAGUCUUAGUGUUGACUGAUACACCCUAAGUGGGACUGUGGUUGCUCAUGAGGAGGGAAACCGAGGCCAGGUGAUAGGGGUGGAAGGAAACACGCUUUCCCUCUAAAUGCUUUGGGACCUGUGAAUAUCAUACCAUGUGCAUUUCUUAUUCACUCUUUAAAAUCAAAUGUUUUUAAUAUCACUUCUUCAAGAAAGUGUUCACUGACUCCCCCGAGAGUAAAUAAGAUAGAUUAGGUUUCCCGUCACGAUUCCAUUGCAGUCUGUACUUUUACCGCGAGAGCUCUUCGCAGAAUUAUGAAUAAACAGUAAUGAGUGUGCAACUCAUGUUUACAAGAGUCUUCCACACCAGGCUCUGAGCUCCAUGAGGGCAGGAGCAAGACCUGGCUUAUGCAUCACUGUUCCACAAGGGCUGACACACAGGCUUUAGCCAAUGUUUGUUGACGAAAGAAAUGAGAAGGGGACAAGAAAGAGGGUGAUGGCGGAGUGGUGGACCAGGUGCUGUCCAGAGGGUGAUGACAGAGUGGCAGGCCAGGUGCUGUCCAGAGGGUGAUGGCAGAGUGGCAGGCCAGGUGCUGUCCAGAGGGUGAUGGCAGAGUGGCGGGCCAGGUGCUGUCCAGAGGGUGAUGGCAGAGUGGCGGGCCAGGUGCUGUCCAGAGGGAGAGCCGGGGUGGCAGGAGGGGUGCCCAUCUCCACAUCCUCCUCUGAGCUCUGUGACCCUUGGGGGCUCAGCCGCUCCUUCACAGGCACUUCUAGAAUGUUGUUCCAAAUCAUUCUUGUAAUUCUUCUUUCUAGUAUAUGUUUAAAAAUUGUCAUAAUAAAAAGUGUGAUAAAUCAA